Molecule: ribosomal RNA, 1186 nt
Filed under: Staphylococcus aureus
Lineage: Bacteria; Bacillati; Bacillota; Bacilli; Caryophanales; Staphylococcaceae
Description: partial 23S ribosomal RNA
Rfam family: Bacterial large subunit ribosomal RNA
Source: RNAcentral
GAUCCAGAGAUUUCCGAAUGGGGAAACCCAGCAUGAGUUAUGUCAUGUUAUCGAUAUGUGAAUACAUAGCAUAUCAGAAGGCACACCCGGAGAACUGAAACAUCUUAGUACCCGGAGGAAGAGAAAGAAAAUUCGAUUCCCUUAGUAGCGGCGAGCGAAAUGGGAAGAGCCCAAACCAACAAGCUUGCUUGUUGGGGUUGUAGGACACUCUAUACGGAGUUACAAAGGACGACAUUAGACGAAUCAUCUGGAAAGAUGAAUCAAAGAAGGUAAUAAUCCUGUAGUCGAAAAUGUUGUCUCUCUUGAGUGGAUCCUGAGUACGACGGAGCACGUGAAAUUCCGUCGGAAUCUGGGAGGACCAUCUCCUAAGGCUAAAUACUCUCUAGUGACCGAUAGUGAACCAGUACCGUGAGGGAAAGGUGAAAAGCACCCCGGAAGGGGAGUGAAAUAGAACCUGAAACCGUGUGCUUACAAGUAGUCAGAGCCCGUUAAUGGGUGAUGGCGUGCCUUUUGUAGAAUGAACCGGCGAGUUACGAUUUGAUGCAAGGUUAAGCAGUAAAUGUGGAGCCGUAGCGAAAGCGAGUCUGAAUAGGGCGUUUAGUAUUUGGUCGUAGACCCGAAACCAGGUGAUCUACCCUUGGUCAGGUUGAAGUUCAGGUAACACUGAAUGGAGGACCGAACCGACUUACGUUGAAAAGUGAGCGGAUGAACUGAGGGUAGCGGAGAAAUUCCAAUCGAACCUGGAGAUAGCUGGUUCUCUCCGAAAUAGCUUUAGGGCUAGCCUCAAGUGAUGAUUAUUGGAGGUAGAGCACUGUUUGGACGAGGGGCCCCUCUCGGGUUACCGAAUUCAGACAAACUCCGAAUGCCAAUUAAUUUAACUUGGGAGUCAGAACAUGGGUGAUAAGGUCCGUGUUCGAAAGGGAAACAGCCCAGACCACCAGCUAAGGUCCCAAAAUAUAUGUUAAGUGGAAAAGGAUGUGGCGUUGCCCAGACAACUAGGAUGUUGGCUUAGAAGCAGCCAUCAUUUAAAGAGUGCGUAAUAGCUCACUAGUCGAGUGACACUGCGCCGAAAAUGUACCGGGGCUAAACAUAUUACCGAAGCUGUGGAUUGUCCUUUGGACAAUGGUAGGAGAGCGUUCUAAGGGCGUUGAAGCAUGAUCGUAAGGACAUGUGGAGCGCUUAGAAG